Pogoniulus pusillus (Red-fronted tinkerbird) is the source of this 747-nucleotide long non-coding RNA. RefSeq lists it as uncharacterized. The transcript is spliced from 2 exons. NCBI's taxonomy places the organism in Eukaryota, Metazoa, Chordata, Aves, Piciformes, Lybiidae. The record is from RefSeq and is a predicted model, not a curated record.
CCUGGGGUCAUCGCGAGUGUGAAAGCGGCUUCCACAGAGGACACUUGCUCCGGGACCAGAGAGUCCCCGGCGCCGGGUUUUCAAGGAGCGGAGCAAGCAGGGCGCUGGGAAGCGAGCGGCACUGCCGCAUUCGUGGGAGAAGAGUGACCCCCGCUGGCCGCCGCCCGAAAGGAGCCUACGUCCUGCCUGGCUCCGCUCCCGGAGAAGGGCAGCCCGACCCGAAGCUGUGCGAAGGAGGAUGAGGAGGAAGACCGCCGUGUGGCGUAGCAGAGGCCUGCUCGGCUCUCUCCUCACGCUCCCUUACAGCAGCCGGGAUUGCUGCCGUUCUGCGUCUGUCUGCGCGGCGACCCCAUGUUCCACGGGCAGAGCAGUCCCGCCCGGGGUGGCCCCAGGGACUUUGGUCAGCAGUGAGCCCAGGAGUUUUACCCUGGCCAUGCACUGAGUCUGCUGGUGCCUUUGCAUCGUCCACAGAAGCUCCUCUCCAGGCCCUGCGCUUCCCUGCGGAGCGUGAGUAGCCCAGCAGACAGCAGCCCCUGCUGCCUGGGGCUCCGGCUCCACCGGAGCUGAUGUGGCAAUGAACUGCCUCCAGCCACUAAGCUCUGACUACCAGCCACAGACGAGGUCCCAAGCGCAGCAGUCACUCCAGCAAGCAGGCCAUGGGCUCCUGCGCAGUCCCUGACUCUGUGAUGCAGAGGGACGUGGUUUACUGGCAGUAGGGGUCGUAUUGGAAGCUCUGAGUAGCUGCAU